RNAcentral lists this ribosomal RNA (253 nucleotides) under uncultured bacterium. RNAcentral describes it as "partial 16S ribosomal RNA". It matches the Rfam family "Bacterial small subunit ribosomal RNA", at positions 524 to 776 of the family's 1533-position model. The record is from RNAcentral.
UACGUAGGGUGCGAGCGUUGUCCGGAAUUAUUGGGCGUAAAGGGCUCGUAGGCGGUUUGUCGCGUCGGGAGUGAAAACCCAGGGCUUAACCCUGGGCUGGCUUCCGAUACGGGCAGACUAGAGGUAUGCAGGGGAGAACGGAAUUCCUGGUGUAGCGGUGAAAUGCGCAGAUAUCAGGAGGAACACCGGUGGCGAAGGCGGUUCUCUGGGCAUUACCUGACGCUGAGGAGCGAAAGUGUGGGGAGCAAACGGG